RNAcentral lists this transfer RNA (76 nucleotides) under Candidatus Omnitrophota bacterium. RNAcentral's name for it is "Candidatus Omnitrophica bacterium tRNA-Lys". It matches the Rfam family "tRNA". From Rfam's summary of the family: Transfer RNA (tRNA) molecules are approximately 80 nucleotides in length. Their secondary structure includes four short double-helical elements and three loops (D, anti-codon, and T loops). The record is from RNAcentral. Lineage: Bacteria; Pseudomonadati; Candidatus Omnitrophota.
GGGCCGCUAGCUCAACUGGCAGAGCAGGACCCUCUUAAGGUCAAGGUUGAAGGUUCGAUUCCUUCGCGGCUCACUA